This 28-nucleotide small RNA is filed under the name Bombyx mori (domestic silkworm). RNAcentral's name for it is "ovarian small RNA-36189". Lineage: Eukaryota; Metazoa; Arthropoda; Insecta; Lepidoptera; Bombycidae. The record is from RNAcentral.
UGUUGUACAGUAUUGUGACGGGGUGUUU